CUGCUCCAAUGACUCGAGUGACUCGAGCUAGGUGACCCGCGUUUCAUGGGAGCUUUUGACAGUUCAUCACCCGGUCGCCAUCUUUGAUUUUUCUAGCCCGGGUCAGGAAUCGUGACCCGACCAAAUAGUACGGGCUACGAAGUUCUAGCUCGAGUCACCCGGAAUCGGAGCGCUCCUAUUGGUUGAAAGUUUCGCGUCGUCUGCUCUGGUCUGCAGUCAAGUAAACAACACAACUAAAUGCAAAUAUGGAGGAUUAUUACGAAUACAAACAUGAGUUUGUUUUUGAAGGCAUAUUUUAUAAAAUAAUUGGAAAGGAGGAAAUUUACACAUUAUUGGCUGGCAGCUUGGACUUCUUCAGUCCUAUCUGAAACAAAACUAUGGCCACAUCGAGAUGGAUGGUUUAGCAGCAGAAGUCACCACAGAGGGUCAUGUGUGGACUAAUGAUGCAACAAAAGUGAAAUUUAUUUGGGAUUAAAAGUUAACAGACCGUUGUACAACCCGGUGAUAAUCUUGUAUUAAAGGAAGUUCUUAUGUAGCAAGCACAAGUUAUGAAGUUGGUAAAGGCUAUUAUUAUUAAUUACAUCAGAGAUGAC
RNAcentral lists this long non-coding RNA (593 nucleotides) under Nilaparvata lugens (brown planthopper). RNAcentral's name for it is "uncharacterized LOC111043327". The record is from RNAcentral. Lineage: Eukaryota; Metazoa; Arthropoda; Insecta; Hemiptera; Delphacidae.